Molecule: transfer RNA, 85 nt
Filed under: Streptomyces sp. SID3343
Lineage: Bacteria; Bacillati; Actinomycetota; Actinomycetes; Kitasatosporales; Streptomycetaceae
Description: tRNA-Leu
Rfam family: tRNA
About the family: Transfer RNA (tRNA) molecules are approximately 80 nucleotides in length. Their secondary structure includes four short double-helical elements and three loops (D, anti-codon, and T loops).
Source: RNAcentral
CCCCGGAUGGUGGAACGCAGACACGAGGAGCUUAAACCUCCUUGGCCGUAAGGCCGUGCGGGUUCGAGUCCCGCUCCGGGGACCA